UUCCCGGUUGAUCCUGCCGGAGGUCCAUUGCUAUUCGGGUUCGACUAAGCCAUGCGAGUCGUGAGGGGUUAAGCCCUCGGCGAACUGCUCCGUAAUGUGCAGUCAACCUACCGUUAGGAAGGGGAUAAACUUGGGAAACUGAGGCUAAUACCCUAUAGCUUCAAAUUUCUGGAAUGAUUUUAAAGCGAAAGCUACGGCGCCUAACGAUGGAGCUGCAUCCUAUCAGGCUGUUGAUGGUGUAAAGAACCAUCAAACCGAUAACGGGUACGGGCUAUGGAAGUAGGAGCCUGGAGAAAGAUUCUGAGACAUAAAUCUUGGUCUUACGAGACGCAGCAGGCGCGAAAACUUUGCAAUCUGCUAACGCAGGACAAGGGAACCUGAAGUGUUCUUGCUAUGCAAGAACUUUUGCAUUCUGAAAACGGGAAAGCGAAUAAGGGCUGGGGAACACGGGUGCCAGCCACCGCGGUAAUACCCGGGGCCCAAGUGAUGGCCAUGAUUAUUGGGUCUAAAGCGUCCGUAGCCGGUUCAAAAAGUCCCUAGUGAGAUCCUCUAGCAAACUAGAGGGCGUGCUUGGGAUACUUUUGGACUUGAGACUGGGAGAGGGUAGGGAUAUUUUCGGGGUAGGGGUGAAAUCCUUUAAUCCUGAGAAGAUCACCUGUGGCGAAAGCGCCUACCUGGAACAGGUCUGACGGUGAGGGACGAAAGCUAGGGGAGCGAUUGGGAUUAGAUACCCCAGUAGUCCUAGCUGUAAACGAUGCCCGCUUGGUGUUGCAGGUUUUUCGGGAGCUUGCAGUGCCGGAGCGUAGGUGUUAAGCGGGCCAUCUGGGAAGUAUAGUCGCAAGGCUGAAACUUAAGGGAAUUGGCGGGGGAGCACACAAGGGGUGGGCGUUGCGGUUCAAUUGGAAUCAACGCCGGU
RNAcentral lists this ribosomal RNA (916 nucleotides) under uncultured archaeon. RNAcentral's name for it is "bacterial SSU rRNA". It matches the Rfam family "Archaeal small subunit ribosomal RNA", at positions 1 to 922 of the family's 1478-position model. The record is from RNAcentral.